ACGCUGGCGGCGUGCCUAAUACAUGCAAGUAGAACGCUGAAGGAGGAGCUUGCUUCUCCGGAUGAGUUGCGAACGGGUGAGUAACGCGUAGGUAACCUGCCUGGUAGCGGGGGAUAACUAUUGGAAACGAUAGCUAAUACCGCAUAAGAGUAGAUGUUGCAUGACAUUUGCUUAAAAGGUGCAAUUGCAUCACUACCAGAUGGACCUGCGUUGUAUUAGCUAGUUGGUGGGGUAACGGCUCACCAAGGCGACGAUACAUAGCCGACCUGAGAGGGUGAUCGGCCACACUGGGACUGACACACGGCCCACACUCCUACGGGAGGCAGCAGUAGGGAAUCUUCGGCAAUGGACGGAAGUCUGACCGAGCAACGCCGCGUGAGUGAAGAAGGUUUUCGGAUCGUAAAGCUCUGUUGUAAGAGAAGAACGAGUGUGAGAGUGGAAAGUUCACACUGUGACGGUAUCUUACCAGAAAGGGACGGCUAACUACGUGCCAGCAGCCGCGGUAAUACGUAGGUCCCGAGCGUUGUCCGGAUUUAUUGGGCGUAAAGCGAGCGCAGGCGGUUAGAUAAGUCUGAAGUUAAAGGCUGUGGCUUAACCAUAGUACGCUUUGGAAACUGUUUAACUUGAGUGCAAGAGGGGAGAGUGGAAUUCCAUGUGUAGCGGUGAAAUGCGUAGAUAUAUGGAGGAACACCGGUGGCGAAAGCGGCUCUCUGGCUUGUAACUGACGCUGAGGCUCGAAAGCGUGGGGAGCAAACAGGAUUAGAUACCCUGGUAGUCCACGCCGUAAACGAUGAGUGCUAGGUGUUAGACCCUUUCCGGGGUUUAGUGCCGCAGCUAACGCAUUAAGCACUCCGCCUGGGGAGUACGACCGCAAGGUUGAAACUCAAAGGAAUUGACGGGGGCCCGCACAAGCGGUG
Molecule: ribosomal RNA, 917 nt
Filed under: uncultured bacterium
Lineage: Bacteria
Description: bacterial SSU rRNA
Rfam family: Bacterial small subunit ribosomal RNA
Source: RNAcentral